Molecule: ribosomal RNA, 1398 nt
Filed under: Vibrio parahaemolyticus
Lineage: Bacteria; Pseudomonadati; Pseudomonadota; Gammaproteobacteria; Vibrionales; Vibrionaceae
Description: bacterial SSU rRNA
Rfam family: Bacterial small subunit ribosomal RNA
Source: RNAcentral
GAGUUAUCUGAACCUUCGGGGAACGAUAACGGCGUCGAGCGGCGGACGGGUGAGUAAUGCCUAGGAAAUUGCCCUGAUGUGGGGGAUAACCAUUGGAAACGAUGGCUAAUACCGCAUGAUGCCUACGGGCCAAAGAGGGGGACCUUCGGGCCUCUCGCGUCAGGAUAUGCCUAGGUGGGAUUAGCUAGUUGGUGAGGUAAGGGCUCACCAAGGCGACGAUCCCUAGCUGGUCUGAGAGGAUGAUCAGCCACACUGGAACUGAGACACGGUCCAGACUCCUACGGGAGGCAGCAGUGGGGAAUAUUGCACAAUGGGCGCAAGCCUGAUGCAGCCAUGCCGCGUGUGUGAAGAAGGCCUUCGGGUUGUAAAGCACUUUCAGUCGUGAGGAAGGCGGUGUAGUUAAUAGCUGCAUCGUUUGACGUUAGCGACAGAAGAAGCACCGGCUAACUCCGUGCCAGCAGCCGCGGUAAUACGGAGGGUGCGAGCGUUAAUCGGAAUUACUGGGCGUAAAGCGCAUGCAGGUGGUUUGUUAAGUCAGAUGUGAAAGCCCGGGGCUCAACCUCGGAAUUGCAUUUGAAACUGGCAGACUAGAGUACUGUAGAGGGGGGUAGAAUUUCAGGUGUAGCGGUGAAAUGCGUAGAGAUCUGAAGGAAUACCGGUGGCGAAGGCGGCCCCCUGGACAGAUACUGACACUCAGAUGCGAAAGCGUGGGGAGCAAACAGGAUUAGAUACCCUGGUAGUCCACGCCGUAAACGAUGUCUACUUGGAGGUUGUGGCCUUGAGCCGUGGCUUUCGGAGCUAACGCGUUAAGUAGACCGCCUGGGGAGUACGGUCGCAAGAUUAAAACUCAAAUGAAUUGACGGGGGCCCGCACAAGCGGUGGAGCAUGUGGUUUAAUUCGAUGCAACGCGAAGAACCUUACCUACUCUUGACAUCCAGAGAACUUUCCAGAGAUGGAUUGGUGCCUUCGGGAACUCUGAGACAGGUGCUGCAUGGCUGUCGUCAGCUCGUGUUGUGAAAUGUUGGGUUAAGUCCCGCAACGAGCGCAACCCUUAUCCUUGUUUGCCAGCGAGUAAUGUCGGGAACUCCAGGGAGACUGCCGGUGAUAAACCGGAGGAAGGUGGGGACGACGUCAAGUCAUCAUGGCCCUUACGAGUAGGGCUACACACGUGCUACAAUGGCGCAUACAGAGGGCAGCCAACUUGCGAAAGUGAGCGAAUCCCAAAAAGUGCGUCGUAGUCCGGAUUGGAGUCUGCAACUCGACUCCAUGAAGUCGGAAUCGCUAGUAAUCGUGGAUCAGAAUGCCACGGUGAAUACGUUCCCGGGCCUUGUACACACCGCCCGUCACACCAUGGGAGUGGGCUGCAAAAGAAGUAGGUAGUUUAACCUUCGGGGGGAC